CAGAGAUCAGCUGGCAGGAUGGGAAUGGGGAGCUCCUGGUGAUCUGGGCACUUUCUCCUUCAUGUCACUGACCUGCCAGGAGCCGCUUUAGGACAUGGAUCCCAAAGCAGCAAGAGGUACCAGGAAGCGCCGCUGAUCUGCACAGACCCCUUUGCCUGCUGCUGCCCCACAGGGAACAGGGUCCAGCGGAGUCGUUCGUGCAGUUCCUGGACAGACUGCAAGCCGUGCUCUCCCAGCAUGCUGACAGUGAUGAGGCCAAAGUUAUUCUGUUGCAGCUGCUUGGUUUUACAAACACAAAAAAAGAUUGUAGAAAAGCAUUGCUUGCUGUUCAUAACCUACAUACUUGUGACACAGCAGAGCAUGCCAAAAUGUGGGAACUACUGCUUACAACACUAAUUCUCUGGCAGUGGCUUUAACCGCGCACUUCUGAGUUCCGGACACGCGGGCGGGAGGCUCUAUUAAAUGUGGUUCAAUGGGUCAUUUUAAAAAGGAUUGCCCUCAACUAGGGGAUGGAAUAAAAAUAUCUAAAGAUAUCUAAAUAUCUAAAGAUUGUCCCAGGUGUGGAAGGAGAAAGCAUUGAGCUGUUGACUGCCACUCCCAGUACCCUGUGAAUUGGAAGGCUACACAGCCAGGAAACUUCCAACUGAGGGCCAGUCUUCAUGCCCCAGAGAAUCAAAAAAAAAGUGAGACAAGACUUUUAGCAAGCGAGCUCCUGCCUACAGCCGCAGGCAAUGCCAGGCUGGAUCUUGCCUCCAGAGAAUUCCUAACUCUAAUGUCAUGUUUGCUACAUUUAGCUCCUCCUGGAGUCUGGUGACCCCUUGGUAAUAGCAUUCAUGCUUUGUUGAUAUGGUUGUUCCUCUGCCACCAGGUUGGGACUUUUUGUACUGCCCAGAGUUAUUGAUUCAGAUUAUGAGGGCCAAAUACACAUUAUACUAUGCACCCCUAUGCCACCCUGCUUUAUACCUGCAGGUCAACGUACAGCACAACUUGUUCCCUUCUCCUACAAAACCCCUAGUGGCAAAGGCAAACGUGCCACAGAUAACUUUGGCAGCACAGGUCAGCCCCAGAUUUUCUAGACAAGCUCUAUUACAGCAGCUCAACCAACUUUAGCAUGCACUAUAGAUGGCAAAAAAUUUAAAGGGCUUGUUGAUAGUGGAGCUGAUCUCUCUAUCAUUAAAAGUAAUGAAUGGCCUAGUAAUUGGCCCACAGUCAGCUGCACUAACUGGGGUGGGAGGGAUGCAGCGCCCACCCUAGACAGAGCGCUCACCUUUGGCUUGUCCUUGGCCCUGAUGGGCAAACUGCCUGGAUUGCACCAUUUAUUAUUGCCUCUAUACCUUGCACAUUAUGGGAAGAGAUGUUCUGGGACAAUUUGGAACGACCAUACAAAUAGACUCAACCUCACAGGAGGGCCUUUUUCAUAGGGGCCAUUGAUCAGCCGUUCCAAAAUCAAAUACUGGACGUAUGUAAAUUCACAUGGCGGACUGAAGACCCUGUGUGGGUCAACCAAUGGCCCCUAGGAAAGGAACGGCUACUAAAUUUAAAAGAGCUUAUGGAAGAAUGCUUGUCUUUAGGCCAUAUCUGUCCAUCUUCUAGCCCAUGGAAUACCCCUAUAUUCUGUAUACCUAAACAAAAUGGCAAGUAACAAUUAUUAAAGGAUCUAUGGGCAGUAAAUGCAGUUAUUGAACCUAUGGGUGCUCUGCAGCCUGGGCUUCCGUCAUCCACAAUUGUGGAAGGAGCUAACAGUGGGCCUGUUAGCUGAAGGAGCAAGAAGCAAAGAAGUAGCUGGUAAGGAGUUGUUUUCAAGGCUGUAACUAAGGAGACCAAGAGAAGUGAGGAACAGAAGAAAGAUAAGAAGAGAACUUCGCAGCUGGAUGGAGUAUUUUUAGAAAGUUACUUAAGUCACUGUAAUUUUUCACCAAUGGUGUUAUGUUGAUUUAUUGUAGCCAAUAGUUAAAGUAGAAGAAGUAUAAACUAUCACAGAGUGUAUAAAAAGUCGGACAUAUUUUGUAUUAAAAAGUUGCCAAAUGAGACUGCUUCUAGUCUCUUUGUUGUGUCGUGACCGCCCCGACAGCGACAUCUGGUGACCCCGACGUGAUAAGAUAUCCUUAUCGAGGAUUGAACCCUUAUCGGGAUCCCAGCGAUUGGCAGCCGUGACCCACUGGGAAGGAGUGGGGGGGGGCGGUGGUUGGUGAAGCAAGUGUGGCGGAGAGAGCCAUAAGGAGGUCAGGACCUGAUUUUCUUCUAUCAAGACACCUGGAAUUAGGUGAGCCACCAACUACUAAUAAUAGGAAAUAUUUUAUUUCAAGAGGAAGAGACUGUCUUAACUACAUGGAAAGUUUUGUUAGGAAACAAGGAGAGUUGGACUCAAGGUUUUGGCACCAAUCCCGGUGCUGCAUUUAGUAUUAAAGCAUGGACAAAAGUCGGGAACAGAUUGUAGGAAAUUAUCAGGACAAGAAAUGAAAGCGCUAUCGGUUUAGCUGUUACGUGGGGAUCGCUCUUUGAGGCAUUGAAACAAUGGAAAGCAGAGUGGGAUGCGGUCGAAGACUUGGGGCUGAUAUCAGACACUCAUGGGGGGGUGCAAACGGGGCUUCUGAACCUGUUGAAUCUAUCUCUGAAGAACGUGCAAGUGCUGUGGGAACUUC
This is an RNA transcript of Pyrgilauda ruficollis (rufous-necked snowfinch), 2642 nucleotides long. It is a transcript of the gene named mas-related G-protein coupled receptor member H-like, with no coding region annotated. The transcript has 2 exons. The record is from RefSeq and is a predicted model, not a curated record. Lineage: Eukaryota; Metazoa; Chordata; Aves; Passeriformes; Passeridae.